UCAUCCAAAUGCCAUGAAAUUUUACAUGCUUACCAUGUUAGAUGUUAGGAUUGAUUGUGAUUUAUUUCAAGAUUUUUGAGAUUGUUUGAGUUGACUUUUGAAUGAAGUCUUUGCUGUUGACUUUUGUAUGCUUCUCUUGCCAUGCUUUGCAUCCUUUUGCAUAUGAAAUGACCAUGAUGCAUGAUAUAAGUUUGAAUCCAAUUGAGAAUGCUUCUUGAAUGUUUAGACUUGGUUUGGGUUGACUUUUCC
This 249-nucleotide long non-coding RNA is filed under the name Lathyrus oleraceus (garden pea). RNAcentral's name for it is "Pisum sativum (pea) long non-coding RNA (PSAT_LNC024373)". Lineage: Eukaryota; Viridiplantae; Streptophyta; Magnoliopsida; Fabales; Fabaceae. The record is from RNAcentral.